Molecule: ribosomal RNA, 390 nt
Filed under: uncultured bacterium
Lineage: Bacteria
Description: bacterial SSU rRNA
Rfam family: Bacterial small subunit ribosomal RNA
Source: RNAcentral
AUUGAACGCUGGCGGCAGGCCUAACACAUGCAAGUCGAGCGGAUGAAGGGGGCUUGCUCCUGGAUUCAGCGGCGGACGGGUGAGUAAUGCGCAGGAAUCUACCUCGUAGUGGGGGAUAACGUCUCGAAAGGGGCGCUAAUACCGCAUACGUUCUGAGGAAGAAAGCAGGGGACCUUCGGGCCUUGCGCUAUGAGAUGAGCUUGCGUCCGAUUAGCUAGUUGGUGGGGUAAAGGCCUACCAAGGCGACGAUCGGUAACUGGUCUGAGAGGAUGAUCAGUCACACUGGAACUGAGACACGGUCCAGACUCCUACGGGAGGCAGCAGUGGGGAAUAUUGGACAAUGGGGGCAACCCUGAUCCAGCCAUGCCGCGUGUGUGAAGAAGGCCUCGG